Molecule: non-coding RNA, 991 nt
Organism: Chiloscyllium plagiosum (whitespotted bambooshark)
Lineage: Eukaryota; Metazoa; Chordata; Chondrichthyes; Orectolobiformes; Hemiscylliidae
Source: RefSeq, a predicted model, not a curated record
GGGCAACAUGAGUUUCCUGAAACUUGGGAAACUGACUGGGAAAUGGAGGUGACUUUGAGCAGCAGAUCAGGACUAGACAGACCAUAAUUAGAAAGGAUGUCCCAGGAGUCCAGUGCCACAGGUCACAGUCUUAGGAUACACAGCAGGCUCUUUCGGACUGACAGGAGGAGACGGUUCUUCACUCAAAGAAUGAAGGAUUGCAUUGUACUGCACCAGAGAAUACAGAGAGGAUUGAUACAGCAGAAGGAUCCUGACCAUCACCCAAGGAACAGCUGCAAAACUGUAGGAAGACAUUCAGUCCCUUCACAUCAUUGCUGAACACAGAGAAUGUCAGGCAGAGAAACCAUCAUCUGGAAAUCGGUCAGUUCCGGGAAGCUUUGACAUAUCACCAGAACGGAAACUAGUCAGUGGUGUGGAGCUUUUCAUCAAAACCAGCCUUUCUGAAGAUUGGGAUGCGUGUGAGCAGUCAGGGUGAGGCUGAGAAGUAGUGUGAAUGGGUUCCAAGUGUGGUGAGAGCUUCAAUCAUUCAUCGAGCCUCAGAAACCACUGACUUAUUGCUAGAGGUAAGAGGCUGUUCCAAAGUGAGGAGUGUGGAACGUUGUCCUCACUGCAUGGGGGUAACUCCAAGUCGUGUUUCACUGACAUCACACUGCAGGGUCACUCCAUUGUUGACAUCGUAAUCUCUCAGCACUGGUGAGGUCAUGUUCAGUUUGGAAGAACCUUUGCCCGAAACAUCGAUAUUCCUGCUCCUCGGAUGUUGCCUGACCUGCUGUGCUUUUCCAGCGCCACACUCUUGAUUGGUGGUGUCAUCACUGGUUGUUUGAUGGGAGUGAAAUCUGCUUCUUGUUCUGUGUCCCAGUCCCACUAAACAAUCUGCACAGUGAGACUGUGUACAUACUCUGAGGACAAGAUGGGCAAAAAUGUCGGUUGAUGUUCUAGGAAGUGUAAAGAUUUUAUUACAGAACUCACACUAAUAGGCUUCCUCCCCUGG